Molecule: non-coding RNA, 80 nt
Organism: Oreochromis niloticus (Nile tilapia)
Lineage: Eukaryota; Metazoa; Chordata; Actinopteri; Cichliformes; Cichlidae
Source: Rfam
CUAGCUGCUGAUUGUCCAAACGCAAUUCUUGUGAAAUUUCAAAUCCAACCCGAGAAUUGUGCCUGGACAUCUGUUGCUGG